Molecule: ribosomal RNA, 1366 nt
Filed under: uncultured bacterium
Lineage: Bacteria
Description: bacterial SSU rRNA
Rfam family: Bacterial small subunit ribosomal RNA
Source: RNAcentral
AGAGUUUGAUCCUGGCUCAGGAUGAACGCUGGCGGCGCGCCUAACACAUGCAAGUCGAACGGCACCCCUCUCCGGAGGGAAGCGAGUGGCGAACGGCUGAGUAACACGUGGAGAACCUGCCCCCUCCCCCGGGAUAGCCGCCCGAAAGGACGGGUAAUACCGGAUACCCCCGGGCGCCGCAUGGCGCCCGGGCUAAAGCCCCGACGGGAGGGGAUGGCUCCGCGGCCCAUCAGGUAGACGGCGGGGUGACGGCCCACCGUGCCGACAACGGGUAGCCGGGUUGAGAGACCGACCGGCCAGAUUGGGACUGAGACACGGCCCAGACUCCUACGGGGGGCAGCAGUGGGGAAUCUUGCGCAAUGGGGGGAACCCUGACGCAGCGACGCCGCGUGCGGGACGGAGGCCUUCGGGUCGUAAACCGCUUUCAGCAGGGAAGAGUCAAGACUGUACCUGCAGAAGAAGCCCCGGCUAACUACGUGCCAGCAGCCGCGGUAAUACGUAGGGGGCGAGCGUUAUCCGGAUUCAUUGGGCGUAAAGCGCGCGUAGGCGGCCCGGCAGGCCGGGGGUCGAAGCGGGGGGCUCAACCCCCCGAAGCCCCCGGAACCUCCGCGGCUUGGGUCCGGUAGGGGAGGGUGGAACACCCGGUGUAGCGGUGGAAUGCGCAGAUAUCGGGUGGAACACCGGUGGCGAAGGCGGCCCUCUGGGCCGAGACCGACGCUGAGGCGCGAAAGCUGGGGGAGCGAACAGGAUUAGAUACCCCUGGUAGUCCCAGCCGUAAACGAUGGACGCUAGGUGUGGGGGGACGAUCCCCCCGUGCCGCAGCCAACGCAUUAAGCGUCCCGCCUGGGGAGUACGGCCGCAAGGCUAAAACUCAAAGGAAUUGACGGGGGCCCGCACAAGCAGCGGAGCAUGUGGCUUAAUUCGAAGCAACGCGAAGAACCUUACCAGGGCUUGACAUAUGGGUGAAGCGGGGGAGACCCCGUGGCCGAGAGGAGCCCAUACAGGUGGUGCAUGGCUGUCGUCAGCUCGUGUCGUGAGAUGUUGGGUUAAGUCCCGCAACGAGCGCAACCCCCGCCGCGUGUUGCCAUCGGGUGAUGCCGGGAACCCACGCGGGACCGCCGCCGUCAAGGCGGAGGAGGGCGGGGACGACGUCAAGUCAUCAUGCCCCUUAUGCCCUGGGCUGCACACGUGCUACAAUGGCCGGUACAGAGGGAUGCCACCCCGCGAGGGGGAGCGGAUCCCGGAAAGCCGGCCCCAGUUCGGAUUGGGGGCUGCAACCCGCCCCCAUGAAGUCGGAGUUGCUAGUAAUCGCGGAUCAGCAUGCCGCGGUGAAUGCGUUCCCGGGCCUUGCACUCACCGCCCGUCA